GUUCUGCAUGGAGGGGCAGUUGGCUGGCGUGGUCCUCCCACUAGGAGCCCAGACUCCCCAGGUACCAGCACCACCACGGGCCUCCAUGGCUCCCUGCCAGGUCCCAUUCUGCUAUCUCCCCGAGGGCCCCACGUUUGAGCCCAGGAGCUGUACCUCUUCAGGAGCCCCAGAGCCCGGAAAGAAGUUCCCAUUGUCAUAGCGAUGCAGGGAGAUGUAGAGCACGGAGGGGUCGUUGUAGAAUGCUUGCUGGGUGCCAUUGCCGUGGUGAAUGUCCUAGUGGGAAGGGGUGGAAGCAUCAGGGAAAAGGCCCAGGCUCUGACCCAAAGGUCAAAAUUCCACUUGGCCCACCCCGACCCUGUGGUGGACUCUGGGGGUGCAGCCCACCACUAGCUACAGGGCAUCUGUGUUCCGUUCGCCACGGAAUCGCCCCACGCUUUUCUAACCAGGGUCUGCGGGCCGGGACAUGGCACUGCACAGAGGAGACACAAAGCCCGGGGACGAAUGUGGUGGAUCUCCCUGCGGGCCCACUCUGCUCAGGAGUGUGGACGGAAACAGCACGGCUAGUCAGGAAUUGAAAGCAAACAGAUGCAUUCUGAAGAAGAACCCAACAUUAUGAACUUUGAAGCCCAAGCUGGGCUUUGAAGAGAUUAGAUCCCUCCUUGCUGAGGCUUGCUCCUCACAGGGAGCGAGCAGUAGGGGCCUUUCCCUCUUCUGUGAGAGGCAGGGGCGGAGAAGCACAGCGUGGCAGCAGGAGCAGAAAUGCCGGGGCCGACAGGCCUGAUCUGAAACCCAGUACCAACAUCCCAAGCUAAGUAACCUUGGUUGGGUAAGUCCCCCAACAGCCCAGUGUCUCCGUUUAUCGAAAUGGACAUCCUACUACUUAGGAAGCAAGGCAGCCACGAAGCAGCACCACGUGUCUGGCACAUGGUCAGCCCCCAGUCAAGAGGGUCUCUAGCAACGGCAGGAGCUGUCUCUACCACUCAAGGCAGAAAAUCUCCUUGGCUGCUCAAGGCUGCGGGCUGGGGGCCAAGGUGGACCAGGGGCUAAAAGCAUUUCGAGUCUCCACUAGUGAGGAGGGGGCCCCAUGGGACUGUGAGGGCUGGGCUAACAGCCCCAGCACGGGGCACCUGAGGAAGAGGGCGUGGGGUUGGGGUGGAGGCUUCCUGAAGGCUGACCCUGGUCCCACCAGCCCACUGCCUACCCAGUCCACGAUGAGAACCUUGCCCACAUUCAGCUUCUGCUGCAGGAGUUUGGUUGUGAUGGCUACAGAGUUGAAGAAGCAGAAUCCCCUGCGGGGGUGAGCGGAGAAGAGGGCAGGUCGUCAGCCUUAGUGGAUGUUUGCUCACAGAUACACGCGCAUCAGCUCUGCUGAGAGGGAGAUGGUGUGAGGGCAGUGGGUCUGGGGCAGGGCUGCGGUGGCACUCACAUGGCUGUGGAUUCCUCCGCGUGGUGUCCCGGCGGCCGGAUGAUGGCAAAACCAUUCUGGAGAGGUACAGACGGAGGGACAGAAACAAGAGGCAGACAGGCGGGCAAGGUGGCCACGAAGUGGGUGGACACAGAAGGAGAGAAGCAUAAGCCAGGAUGAGAGCAUAAGUCAUAAGCAUCAAUCCCACAACCUUUAGGAAUGCCAGCCGAGGGCCACAUGAGACCCAUGAGAGCACAGACAUUAGUGUCUCUUGGUCAUUCCCUCUUCACCCCUCACCCCCCAGCUGGCCUGGAGCUGGCACCUCCUCCCCACGCCUGCACCUGAGAGUUGAGAUUACAGAGGAUGGUGCCUUAGUGACAGGAAAACCACGGCUAACCCCAUCCCCCGCUCCUGAGGCAACAGGACCAAGGCCCCACACACACUCACCUUGAGCUCCCCCGUCGCCACCUUGAAAGCCAGCUCCACCAGGCAGCCCACCGCCAUGCGCACGGCACUGGAGGAGUGCAUCUCAUUCCACACGGUGUCGCUGUCCACCUGCGGGGGCAGGAGAGCAGGCUUCAGCGUGCCCCCUGCAGGGGGAGGGCGAGAAUGGGGGUGCAGCUGUGGUGGGCAGGAAGGGAGGGGCUGGAGCUGGGAGCACCACCCACCCAUCCCCACUGGCAGGUGCCCUACUCACCCCGAUGCCCCCACAAGGCAGCAUGGCGUACAUCUUCUGGCUGAUGGGGCCUGCAGGGAAGAGGGACAGAGCUACUCUGGAAGUUGCCUCAACUGCCAGAGCCGCAGGUUGGGGUGUGCAGAGGGCAGGAAGCUCAAUCACAGAAAAAGAAGGCCAGGCCCCAGCACACGACGGGCCUCUGCAGCCCAUGCCAGCUGGGAGAUGUCUGUCCCCCGUCCUGGGUGGGGCAUCCUACCUCUGGGGCAAAUGGCAGGGAGAAAAAGGGGCCUGACAGGUUAGGGAGAAGGGCGAAGCCCAUCACCAGGCCUGACCUGUCACCUCCUAUCCUCCUGCACACAUCUCACCAGCAUGUAGUCUGUGUGAAUGGCGCCCUCUGGAGGCAUGCAAUGGAGCAACUGCACCCACGGGAACCCACCUGCCUACCCUAGUGGUGGUCUUCCUGACAGCCCCCGUCCCGCCGGGGCAGAAGACCUGGCCUGGCCCACGCCACCCCCGCAAUCGGCCGGCCAGCUCACCGAGCAGCUUCUUGCUGUCCAGCUUCUGUCGGUUGAGGGGGCUGGUCCCAUAGAGCAGGGUGUGGUAUUCGGAGUGCACCGUCUGGAUCUCGUCCAGCGUGGCUUUGCGACCCCGGAUCCGCUGCCAGGGGAGAGCAGGAAGAGAGGCCGGUGAGAGGGAUGGCACCGCAGGCCCAGCUCCCCCGAGGCCCAGCCCCUCUCUCUGCCCCACAGCCUGGGGCACAUGGAGCCACUUUCUCGCCUCGGGAGAUCCAAAGGUUGUUGAGAAAGAAUGCCCUGGUCCCCCAGGGACCCAGUCCAGGACCCUCCCCCACUCAGCUGGGGACCAUGGGGGAACCAGGCUACAAGGGAUGGCACUGGGAGGUGCCUGGGGGGCCUGGCCCUGAAGUCAGGGGUUGAAGAGAGAAUGAGGAAGAGACCCAGACAGAGGCUUCCCCGAUAGGGGAAACACAAAGGCUUUCGCUGGGUUUGAGGUGGAGGCUGGAAGGAGGGGCUCCCUUACCUCACACUUGCUGAGCAGGCCUGUCUCCUGCAGCCGAGACCAGAUGCUCUGGAUCCGGCCAGCGUGCUCGGGGUGCACGUGUGUGUUGCCGCACAUGCACUGGUGCUUCAGCAUGAACGUGUCGUAGACCACACCUGGGCCAGAGACACACCUGUCAGCCAGCACUGCUCUGGGCUGUGUGACAGCCUGGCCCCCGCCAUCCUCAGCAGAGCUCACUGAGCUUUUCCCCAGCCCACCCUCGUCCCAGCCCCUCCUCACAGCCCCCCCAGCUGCCCUCCCACACACCUGCCCCUCUUCUUUUCAUGAAAUCCCUUUCCCCCACCACCGCCUGUCAAAAGCCCCCCUGCUCCUCAAGCCUCCACCAGGCCGCCCUUGACACCCCCAUCGGUUUUGACCUCAUGGCACACCCUCCUUUCCCCCUCCUGUCACAGCCCCUGUGUGCUGCCCCUCUACCCCCCGACACACCCCACUGGUGAGUCGGGACCGUCCUCAAGCAUCUGUGCCCCCACAGAGCCCAGCACAGGGCAGUUUCACAUGGAAGAGCCUUCUGGAAUGGACUGAGGCCUCACAUUUAACCUCACAGGGCAGAGAGGGAACUAGAAGAGCAGGACCAAACUGAGACAGUGGGCUCCCUCCACCUAGGCCUCCAGGGCUUGUGUGGCGAGGGCGCAAAACUGGUGGUCCCUCAGCAGUGGUGGGGUGGGUCCCUGAAGGAAGACGCUGCCCCAGCGGGUAGGGACACUCACCACCCUCCCACUGAGGCAGAGGCUGCCACCACUACCACAGGUGGCUAUGGCGCAGAGGGAGGGGGCCAAGGCCUGCUUUCCCUCCCUUCAGGAUGCUCUGAGGGGCCCUGGCCAUCUCUCCAGGGCAGGGGCUCUAUCUUAUCUCUUCACGAUGCCCAAGGCUGGAUGCCACACACAGGCCCCCGGCACACGAUGUGAGGACAGCUCGUGCGGGCGCGGGGCUCACCUGUGGUGAAGAGGUGCUUGGUGGGCUGGUCCGGGGGGCUCUUCAUGCCCCCAGGGGCAGCAGGUGAGGACUGGGUGCGGCCCAGGGCCUGGUGAGGCACAGUGGCCAGGCUGAGGGGCGCCUGGUACACCUGCAGCGGCUGCAGCUGCUGAGCAUCUGCAAACACCUGGGAAGGAGGAGAGUGGGAGGGAGCCUGGGUGAGGCUUAGUCUGAAAUGGAAGUGAGGACAGGUGGCCUCCCAGGGGGUGGAGGGCCUGAAUCCAGCCCUUCUCUUCUGUAUCGCCUCCUCCCCCCACCCUCCUCCCUCCAGGGACAGGAGACACUCCAGCCUUAGCCAUCUUCAUCUCCAUCUCCGAGGAGAUGGGGAGAGAUGGGGUGGGGGGGGACGUGAUGAGUCAUGCUACCGGAGUAGCAUUGAGGCAGCCGCCCAGCCCAUACAGACCUUUGAUGUGAAUUAGAGAAAGGCAAGGCGGCUCCUCUGAUGCAGCCUGGGGAGUGGCCUGGGUGUCAGCCCCCUGCCAGCCCCCUGCCAGCCCGGCACCCUCUGUGUCCUGACCCCAGCACGGCCCUGGAUGUUUGCUUCUCCCGGCUCACCUUGCCCAGCUGCAGCUGCUGCUGCUUCUGCUUCUCUAGGAACUGCUGGUGCUGCUGCUGCAUGACCAGCUGCUGCAGGGCCUGGGGGCUCUGGGGCAGCGGCGAGGACUGAGUGCGGCUCAGGGGCCGGUGCCGAGGGAGCUUGCCCACCGUCCGCAUGCUGGUAGCCACGCGCUCACCCGUCACCAGCGGGGACUGCCCGUGGAGCGGCACUGUGGAGGUGGUGGGGAGAGGGAAGUAACCAUCACUGUCAGGGCACCAGGCUCCCACUCCCACCCCGCGACUCUCCCUCUUCUGGAACAGCGGCGCCUCCAUACUCAGGAAAAACCUGCGAGGGGCCUGGAGCACCCUGCCCCCAAACCUGAGCCCCAUUCUUCCUCCUCCCCACAACUGAACAGUCUCGCAGCUCAGAGCCACCACCUCCAGCAAAACUUCCUGGAUUCACUUACGAGCACGUACAGUCUCGGGCCCCCCGUGUGCGAGAACAAUGACUAGUUCUCCCCAACUGCAAGACCUCCCUGAUCAUGGACGUGGAUCCCACCCAGCUGGGAAGCCUGGAGGCCAGGAUCAUGUGUCUUUUAAGCAGAACCUCUUCUGAUGCCACCAGCUACUUAUGGGCUGACUGUCCAAAGCCACGCUGUCCAAUCCCAUGGCUGCCAGCCACACGUGACCACUGAGCACUUGAAACAUGGCCUGUCUCAAUUGAGAUGUGCUCUAAGUGUGAAAUACGCACCAGAUUUCAACGACGAACACUUCAAAGUACACAUACGGCUUGUAUUAUAUUUCUACUGGACAGCACUGCUCUGGAAUGUGAGCUCCAUUACGACGGCAGAUUUCGGGAACAGUGCCUGGCCGGCUGUAGGUACUCAAUAACGUCUGUAGAAUAUGGAAGAAAUCAAUGAUGCCAUGGAAGGGAGCUGUGACAGGGCUGCUCUGGGGGAGGGCCAUCUGAUCGCCAUCAGGACCCUGGGAGGACAACAGCCCCAGCCAGGGGCAUCCAGGGCCGAAGACCUCAACACCAGAGGGAGGA
Molecule: long non-coding RNA, 5715 nt
Organism: Balaenoptera ricei (Rice's whale)
Lineage: Eukaryota; Metazoa; Chordata; Mammalia; Artiodactyla; Balaenopteridae
Exons: 4
Source: RefSeq, a predicted model, not a curated record